AGCCACUUUUGGUAAUGGCUAUUCAGUUGGAAUGGCCUCAUUUGUACAGAGAAGAUAGGUUUAUCGUCAUGUGAGGUGGAUUGCACAUUGAAAUGACGUUAUAAAAUUAUGGGUGAUAUAUUACGUGACAGUGAGUGGAUGACCAUGUGUCCUCACUAAAACCAAUAUUGCACCUAGAACGGCAGAUUCUUUGUAUGUAUGUUCAAAUGUAUCUAGGACUAGACACGC
RNAcentral lists this long non-coding RNA (228 nucleotides) under Mytilus galloprovincialis (Mediterranean mussel). Lineage: Eukaryota; Metazoa; Mollusca; Bivalvia; Mytilida; Mytilidae. The record is from RNAcentral.